UUUCACCUUAGGGGGCGCUAUGGAGCCAUUUUGCAUUUUAUUAUUUGGGCGACUUCAAAAUAUCGAAUUUUUCACCAGGCCUGGUCGUCCUGCCAAAUUUCAUGAGUUUUCGCCAGUGGGAAGUGGGCCAUUUUCCCCUUCAAAGAGGAGGAAAAAUAAGAAGAAAGAAAGAAAGAAGAAAGAAAAACCCAUACAGGAACAAUAGGGCUCUCGCAGCUGCUUAGCAGCUACGCUCGGGCCCUAAAAAGGCUCAAAUUUUUGCUUUAUUAGUGACUUUAUGUCUUAAAUGGGCUCUUAAAGGGUAGAAAAAAUAUUUUCAAUGAAACAUUUGCUAGUUGUGAACAGGGCAGAAGUAAAAAAAGAGAUAUACAAAGAAAAAUCUCGAAAAAUAUCAAUCCAAUUUGAUUUUACAGCAGACAAAGUCAUUUGGGCCACUGAGGGGCGCCAAAGGGAGUUGUCUAUUAAAUCUAAUGCUACAGAAAAAGUUAAAAGGCAUCAAAGUCAAUCAUAUUACUAAACUCUCACAUAUUCAAGACUUUGAUGCCCUGCAAGAGAUAACCAGUUUUUUAUAAUGUUUGAUAAAAAAAAAUGGUCAUUUUCCUUACCCCCCAUGGCAGGAGAAAAAGUCAAGUUUUUCCUGCCCAUCGCUCAAUGGCUCAAACGCAUCGCUCUCUCUGCAAAACCGAAAGGAGGAGCAACUUGCCAUUUGGAUAUAUCCUAGCUGUGUUUGUGCCCUCACUCAUGGUCCAGACGUUUUUCAAAAAGGACAUGGAGUUUGUCUGCAGCGAGCGUUUUGGUAGAAACUGCGCCUCUCAUUCAUUAUAAUGGUAAAUGACCACAGACAAGUGCGCACACCAUCUUUGGACCUUGAGUGUGACGCGAUCGGGAGGGGGAGGCGGUCGCGCUGGGGGCGGCGCGACACGGCUCGGGCCCGCCAGUGCCCCAACGGGGCCCUAGUCUUCUUCUUCUUCUUUAGGGCCCGAGCCAGCUGCAGAGCAGCCGGGCGUAGAGCCCUAUUAUUCCUGUAGUGGUUUUUUCUUUGUUUCUUUCUUUCUUUCUUUCUUAGGGCCCGAGCCAGCUGCAGAGCAGCCGGGCGUAGAGCCCUAUUAUUCCUGUAGUGUUUUUUUCUUUGUUUGUUUCUUUCUUUCUUUCUUUAGGGCCC
Xyrichtys novacula (pearly razorfish) is the source of this 1162-nucleotide non-coding RNA. The record is from the annotation of a GenBank genome assembly. NCBI's taxonomy places the organism in Eukaryota, Metazoa, Chordata, Actinopteri, Labriformes, Labridae.